Molecule: ribosomal RNA, 351 nt
Filed under: uncultured bacterium
Lineage: Bacteria
Description: partial 16S ribosomal RNA
Rfam family: Bacterial small subunit ribosomal RNA
Source: RNAcentral
CCUACGGGGGGCUGCAGUGGGGAAUAGUGGGCAAUGGGCGCAAGCCUGACCCAGCAACGCCGCGUGAAGGAAGAAGGCUUUCGGGUUGUAAACUUCUUUUCGCAGGGACGAAGCAAGUGACGGGACCGGAGGAAUAAGCCACGGCUAACUCCGUGCCAGCAGCCGCGGUAAUACGUAGGUGGAAAGCGUUAUCCGGAUUUACUGGGUGUAAAGGGCGGGUAGGCGGGACUGCAAGUCAGAGGGGACAACCCCGGGCUCAACCUGUGGCCUGCAUUGGAAACUGUAGUUCUUGCGUACUGGAGAGGCAGCCGUCAUUCCUCGUGUAGCGGUGAACUGCGUAGAUAUUAGGCG